Molecule: ribosomal RNA, 454 nt
Filed under: uncultured bacterium
Lineage: Bacteria
Description: partial 16S ribosomal RNA
Rfam family: Bacterial small subunit ribosomal RNA
Source: RNAcentral
GAUGAACGCUGACAGAAUGCUUAACACAUGCAAGUCAACUUGAACUUCGGUUUGGGCGGCGGACGGGUGAGUAACGCGUAAAGAACUUGCCUCACAGUUAGGGACAACAUUUGGAAACGAAUGCUAAUACCUGAUAUUAUGAUUUUAGGGCAUCCUAGAAUUAUGAAAGCUAUAUGCGCUGUGAGAGAGCUUUGCGUCCCAUUAGCUAGUUGGAGAGGUAACGGCUCACCAAGGCGAUGAUGGGUAGCCGGCCUGAGAGGGUGAACGGCCACAAGGGGACUGAGACACGGCCCUUACUCCUACGGGAGGCAGCAGUGGGGAAUAUUGGACAAUGGACCAAGAGUCUGAUCCAGCAAUUCUGUGUGCACGAUGAAGUUUUUCGGAAUGUAAAGUGCUUUCAGUUGGGAAGAAAAAAAUGACGAUACCAACAGAAGAAGUGACGGCUAAAUACGUG